Long non-coding RNA from Xiphophorus hellerii (green swordtail), 266 nucleotides. RefSeq lists it as uncharacterized. Lineage: Eukaryota; Metazoa; Chordata; Actinopteri; Cyprinodontiformes; Poeciliidae. The transcript has 2 exons. The record is from RefSeq and is a predicted model, not a curated record.
AAAAAAAUGGUGUAGCUUUUUUAACAAAAUUUUAUUGUGAAGUAUGAAAAUUAUUUUCUUCUUGAUUUAAUGAAAAACAAUAAAUUUGUGAAACUCCUUAAAAUGAGUUUCUGGUGAAACAAUCUUCUUUCGCAUGUUAGAAAGUCAAUCUGUCUUUUUAUGAAACAACUUUCAUGUAAUGGGCUGUAGAUCAGUUGCAUUUAAAUGCAUCACUAAGUUUUAUUCUGUUUUUAAUAGUCUAUUUUAAAUAAACAAAUUACUGUUAA